UUUUUUUUUAAUUAGAAAAAAGAAAUUCAUUAAACUAGCAAAUUGAGUACAAAAAAAUCUGGCCCAUACUAGACAUCAGUCUAAUUAAACAAAACCCUCACAGGGAGAAACCCAAUAAAUAACAAAAUACAAACUCAAACCCUAGGCCUAAUCGUUAUAGUUGAAAGAGGAGAGCUACGUAGUCACCGCUCAUCAACAACCAUGAACAAUAGAAAGAGGAAGCAGGCUCAAUUUCAACUCAACACUGCAAACAACACAGAGCCAAACCACAUCUCCAAAGCGGACCAUAGAGGACUAAUGAAGAUGAAGCAUCAUCGGAUCGAAGGAGAGAGGUAGGUAGGGCCGCUUGGCAGAGCUCCAAAUGGCAAGAGAGUCAUGAAGGUCAAAUGUGAAGAUACCAACUUUGCAACCUCGGAGGUGCCCGGCCUCACGGCCUAAAGGAUCUUGCACCCUCCUACCGAAAGCUCGAAGAUGGAGGAGACUACGCUCCACCAUUCACAAGGACUCCAGAAAGCACAAUAGCUCCACAGUGCGCUGGAGGACCGCAAUCCAAAUAACAACAACCAAGCAACCUUACCGAAACAUAAACCUUGCCAAGGAAAACUAGGCCAAGGCUUCAAGCUGAACUGGAUGAAACAGAAAGAAAGCUAGUAGAUUAGCAGGAGUCCUCUCACUGAAGCACAGAAUCCACCAAAACAAGCAAGCACAGACCAAAUGUACAAAAAAUCGACAGAGAACACAAAUCUAAAACAAAAAAACUAACACCCGAACAAAAUCUAUAUACAUCCUAACCGAAAAAAGGAAAGGGACUUUCAUCCGACAAGGAAAGAAUGUCGUCCCCUAUCAUCGAGGGCCAAGGACGACCACUUACGUGCUCCUCUGGUUCUGUAAGCAAUGAAAAAAGGAAAAUCCUUACUUGACAACGAGACAAAGCUCGCACUAUCAAUUAAUAUGAGUGCCUUACAUUAU
Molecule: unclassified non-coding RNA, 969 nt
Filed under: Hevea brasiliensis (rubber tree)
Lineage: Eukaryota; Viridiplantae; Streptophyta; Magnoliopsida; Malpighiales; Euphorbiaceae
Source: RNAcentral